CAUGCAAGUCGAGGGGUAAGGAGAGCUUGCUCUCCCUAAACCGGCGCACGGGUGCGUAACACGUGUACAAUCUACCUUUUGCUAAGGGAUAGCCCGAAGAAAUUUUGGAUUAAUACCUUAUAGUAUUGUUUGGUGGCAUCACUGAAUAAUUAAAGCUCUGGUGGCAAAAGAUGAGUACGCGUCCCAUUAGCUAGUUGGUGUGGUAACGGCAUACCAAGGCUACGAUGGGUAGGGGUCCUGAGAGGGAGGUCCCCCACACUGGUACUGACACACGGACCACACUCCUACGGGAGGCAGCAGUGAGGAAUAUUGGACAAUGGUCGGAAGACUGAUCCACCCAUGCCGCGUGCAAGAUGACGGCCUUAUGGGUUGUAAACUGCUUUUAUACAAGAAGAAUAAGGUCUACGAAUAGAUUGAUGACGGUACUGUAUGAAUAAGCAUCGGCUAACUCCGUGCCAGCACCCGCGGUAAUACAGAAGAUGCGAGCGUUAUCCGGAAUCAUUGGGUUUAAAGGGUCCGUACGCGGGCUUAUAACUCAGAGGUGAAAGCACUGAGCUCAACUGAAUAACUGCCUUUGAAACUGUAGGUCUUGAAUGUUUGUGAAAUAUCUGGAAUGUGUAGUGUAGCGGUGAAAUGCAUAUAUAUUACACAGAACACCGAUUGCGAAGG
This 669-nucleotide ribosomal RNA is filed under the name Capnocytophaga canimorsus. RNAcentral's name for it is "bacterial SSU rRNA". It matches the Rfam family "Bacterial small subunit ribosomal RNA", at positions 54 to 721 of the family's 1533-position model. The record is from RNAcentral. Lineage: Bacteria; Pseudomonadati; Bacteroidota; Flavobacteriia; Flavobacteriales; Flavobacteriaceae.